RNAcentral lists this transfer RNA (78 nucleotides) under Klebsiella pneumoniae. RNAcentral describes it as "tRNA-Arg". The stretch from base 13 to 75 matches the Rfam family "tRNA". Rfam says of the family: Transfer RNA (tRNA) molecules are approximately 80 nucleotides in length. Their secondary structure includes four short double-helical elements and three loops (D, anti-codon, and T loops). The record is from RNAcentral. Lineage: Bacteria; Pseudomonadati; Pseudomonadota; Gammaproteobacteria; Enterobacterales; Enterobacteriaceae.
GUAUAAGAGACAGCAGCUGGAUAGAGUACUCGGCUACGAACCGAGCGGUCGGAGGUUCGAAUCCUCCCGGAUGCACCA